UACGUAGGGUGCAAGCGUUAAUCGGAAUUACUGGGCGUAAAGCGUGCGCAGGCGGUUUUGUAAGUCAGAUGUGAAAUCCCCCGGGCUUAACCUGGGAACUGCGUUUGAAACUACAAGGCUAGAGUGUGGCAGAGGGGGGGUGGAAUUCCACGUGUAGCAGUGAAAUGCGUAGAGAUGUGGAGGAACACCGAUGGCGAAGGCAGCCCCCUGGGUUAACACUGACGCUCAGGCACGAAAGCGCGGGGAGCAAACAGG
This 255-nucleotide ribosomal RNA is filed under the name uncultured bacterium. Its description in RNAcentral is "partial 16S ribosomal RNA". It matches the Rfam family "Bacterial small subunit ribosomal RNA", at positions 524 to 776 of the family's 1533-position model. The record is from RNAcentral.